GAUAAGAUUAAUUUAUUAAUUUUAAAAAUUUAUUUAUAUUUUAAAAAAAGAAAUUUUUAUUUUAUUAAUUUUUAAGAAAAAAUUAUUUUUAAUUAUAGAUUAUAGUAUUGUGAAAGAAAAAUUUUAUUAUAUUAAAAGAAAAAUUUAAUUUUUGUACCUUGUGCAUCAGGGUUAAUUAAAAAAUAAUUAAAUAUUUAAUAUUCUCGAAUUUAAAAGAGCUAAUUAAUUAUAAAUUUUAUUGUAAAAUAAAUAUUUAAAAUAUUUAAUUGGAAAUGAAACGUUAUUCGUUUUUAAAUUUAUCUAGUUUUUAAAUAAAUAAAUUUAAUUUAGUUAUUUUAAUUUAAAAUAUUAAUUUUUUAAUUUUUUGUUUAAAAUAAGUAAUUUUUUUAGGGAUUAGCUUAAAAAAAAAAAAUUAUAAUAAAUUAAAAUAUAAAAUAAAUUGUAGGAUUAUAAUUUUCUAUUAUUAAAAAAAUGUUAUAAUUAAUUAUUUGUUUAAUAUUAUUUUUAUUUUAUUUAAAUUUUUUAUUUAAAUAUAAAUUUUAAUUUAAAAGAUUUAGUAAUAAUGAUUAAAUUAGUAUAAAUUAAUAUAUAAUUAAUUUUUAAAUUAAGGUUGAUUUAAGGAAUUCGGCAAAUUUAUUUUUCACCUGUUUAUUAAAAACAUGUCCUUUUGAUUAUAAUUUAAGGUCUAAUCUGCCCACUGAAUAUUUAAAUGGCCGCGGUAUUUUGACCGUGCAAAGGUAGCAUAAUAAUUAGUUUCUUAAUUAGAAGCUGGAAUGAAAGAUUGAAUGAGAAAAUAGCUGUCUCAAAUUAAAUUUUUUAGAAUUUUAUUUUUAAGUUAAAAAGCUUAAAUGAUAUUAAAAGACGAGAAGACCCUAUAGAGUUUUAUUUAAUUUUUUUUUGAAAAAAUAUAAAUUUUAAUAUUUUUUAAAUUUAAAUUAAAUUUUGUUGGGGAGAUAGAAAAAUUAAAUUAACUUUUUUUAUAUAAAA
This 987-nucleotide ribosomal RNA is filed under the name Stigmatium ventrale. RNAcentral describes it as "partial 16S ribosomal RNA". Lineage: Eukaryota; Metazoa; Arthropoda; Insecta; Coleoptera; Cleridae. The record is from RNAcentral.